This 87-nucleotide microRNA precursor is filed under the name Mus pahari (shrew mouse). Its description in RNAcentral is "microRNA 181a-1 (MGP_PahariEiJ_G0007505.1)". It matches the Rfam family "mir-181 microRNA precursor family". From Rfam's summary of the family: In this case the mature sequence comes from the 5' arm of the precursor. The extents of the hairpin precursors are not generally known and are estimated based on hairpin prediction. The record is from RNAcentral. Lineage: Eukaryota; Metazoa; Chordata; Mammalia; Rodentia; Muridae.
GGUUGCUUCGGUGAACAUUCAACGCUGUCGGUGAGUUUGGAAUUCAAAUAAAAACCAUCGACCGUUGAUUGUACCCUAUAGCUAACC